AACGAACGCUGGCGGCGCGUCUUAAACAUGCAAGUCGAACGAUCUGUAGCAAUACAGGGAGUGGCGGACGGGUGAGGAACACGUAGGAAUCUACCUUGAAGAGCGGGACAACUUUGGGAAACCGGGGCUAAUACCGCAUAGUACAGAGAUGUUAAAGGGCUAGCAAUAGUCGCUUCGAGAUGAGCCUGCGGUCUAUCAGCUUGUUGGUGAGGUAAUGGCUCACCAAGGCUACGACGGAUAGCCGGUCUGAGAGGAUGAUCGGCCACACUGGCACUGAGACACGGGCCAGACUCCUACGGGAGGCAGCAGUUAAGAAUCUUGCGCAAUGGGGGAAACCCUGACGCAGCGACGCCGCGUGAAGGAUGAAGGCUUUCGGGUUGUAAACUUCGGUAGACUGGGAAGAAGAACUACGUUCGUUGAGGGCGUAGAGUGACGGUACCAGUCUGAAGCCCCGGCUAAUUACGUGCCAGCAGCCGCGGUAAU
RNAcentral lists this ribosomal RNA (483 nucleotides) under uncultured bacterium. Its description in RNAcentral is "bacterial SSU rRNA". It matches the Rfam family "Bacterial small subunit ribosomal RNA", at positions 29 to 524 of the family's 1533-position model. The record is from RNAcentral.